GACGAACGCUGGCGGCGUGCUUAACACAUGCAAGUCGAACGGAAAGGCCCUGCUUGCAGGGUACUCGAGUGGCGAACGGGUGAGUAACACGCGGGUGGUCUGCCCUGCACUUCGGGAUAAGCCUGGGAAACUGGGUCUAAUACCGGAUAGGAGCCAUUUUUCGUGUGAUGGUUGGAAAGUUUUUUCGGUGUAGGAUGAGCUCGCGGCCUAUCAGCUUGUUGGUGGGGUAAUGGUCUACCAAGGCGGCGGCGGGGAGCCGGACUGGGAGGGUGGCCGGCCACAGUGGGACUGAGAUUCGGCCCAGACUCCGACGGGAGGGAGCGGUGGGGAAGGUUGAACAAUGGGCGCAAGCCUGAUGCAGAGACGCCGCGUGGGGGAUGACGGCCUUGGGGUUGUAAACUCCUUUCGCUAGGGACGAAGCUUUUUGUGACGGUACCUAGAGAAGAAGCACCGGCUAACUACGUG
Molecule: ribosomal RNA, 465 nt
Filed under: uncultured bacterium
Lineage: Bacteria
Description: partial 16S ribosomal RNA
Rfam family: Bacterial small subunit ribosomal RNA
Source: RNAcentral